This 254-nucleotide ribosomal RNA is filed under the name uncultured bacterium. RNAcentral's name for it is "partial 16S ribosomal RNA". It matches the Rfam family "Bacterial small subunit ribosomal RNA", at positions 524 to 776 of the family's 1533-position model. The record is from RNAcentral.
UACAGAGACUGCAAGCGUUAUUCGGAUUCACUGGGCGUAAAGGGUGCGCAGGUGGCCAAGUGUGUCAGGUGUGAAAUCCCGGGCUUAACUCCGGAACUGCGCCGUGAAACUGCUUGGCUAGAGCAUUGGAGAGGGUAGCAGAAUUCAUGGUGUAGCAGUGAAAUGCGUAGAUAUCAUGAGGAAUACCAGAGGCGAAGGCGGCUACCUGGACAAAUUGCUGACGCUCAGGCACGAAAGCGUGGGGAGCAAAAGGG